Molecule: long non-coding RNA, 2758 nt
Filed under: Homo sapiens (human)
Lineage: Eukaryota; Metazoa; Chordata; Mammalia; Primates; Hominidae
Description: HSALNT0375632
Source: RNAcentral
CUCCCCUCCCCUCGAGGUGUCACACAUUUCUGAUGACAAUGAAUUGAUUACAAGGAGACAAGAGGAGAGUGUUCAGCUUUUUGGAGAAUGACUAGAAUUAGAUGAGAUUUAGACUGUAGCCUCAUGAAACAGGAUCUCCUGAGCUUCCCUUCAUGCCCUAGCAUAAGAAAUAAAAAUGAUGGGCACAUGUAACUGAGCUUUCACACAACGUAGUUUUUUUGUCAGUCUUGAAUUUGGUGAAAUGUAAGUAGUAGCUCACAGAAAAAAGUUUUUAUCUGUGCCUUCUUACGGUGAUUAACUAUCCUGGGGAUCAUUCUGGGCUUAGCAAAGAAUGACCUUUGUCCUGGAAAACCCCUGAAACCCAGGAAAACCAGGACAUCUGGUUACUCCACAGUCUCACCUGAGGUGUUCUGACCUCACAGAGCAGCCCGGUGACCACAGUGGUAGGGUUAAGUGAGGUCUCUAUUAGGGGCAGGCUUUUGCACAUUUACUUGGGGUUCCUGUAAAUUUCAUCCCUUGACCAAAUAAUGCUUCUGUUGCCAACAGACACAACCACAGGAAUCCUGGGAGUCACCCUGGCUGUGUCUGGAUGUCACAAAAAAUGUGAAGAGCAAAAUCCAGGCAGUUUCAUGAUGUGGUGAUGAUCAAACCCUGUCCCCCAGGGGUGUGAAAAACAGACACCUCUUUAAUAGAAUUUAGUUUUCUUAACUCAGACUUUUUUUGGGCUGAAUUUAUGCUAGCCUGUUUAGUCAUGUCUUCAAGCAACCACUUGUUACAAAGGGUUAAAGUUUUAGCUUGCUUACUAUCAUGAAAAGGGUGAGAGAAAAAGGCUAUUAUUUAGCUAAGAAGACGUAUCCAUUUUUUUUAAGGACAGCAGUCAGGGAUUCAAACGACCCUUCCCAUCUCUUCACUAUUUCACAGUAUUCACUGUCUAAAGGGCUUCCCACCCUCUCUUCAGCCUCCGCAGGACAUAAGCAAAACCAGAUGCCUGCCCUCAGCUGAGGUCCUCAAACAGACAGGCACCCAAAGUGUUGCUGUGGCAAUAAUCUCUGUGUUCCACUUACUGCAGGAAAACAGAAUUUAAUCAUGGGUUCCUUGGACUCCAGCCUUGCCAUAUAGUUCCUGCAGCUAGAAUCCACUGCAUGGAAAAUCUGGCAUACGAUUACUGUCCAGAGCUCUGGAAGAAUGCUAGCCUUGCACAGAUAUUUUCUUUGCCUGGUUAGGCUGUCAAACACCCUGACCUCGUCAAUGUUUUAAAAGGUAGGAGUUGUUACAGUUCUCAGUCCCCUAAGAGGCUGACCAAGUGCUGAGAGGGGCUCCCAGCUUCUCUGCAUUCUGGAAAACCCACCGCAGAGCCCCGCCCUAGUGUGCUUCCGGUAAGAAACCAAAGAAAAAAGCCUACUGUCUGGUCCCUAGCAUUGGCUGCCCACCCUCUGAAAAGCGACUGAGUCCUUGAGUCUCCUGGGAUGUUCAUAUGAAUCCCCUUGAAGCUUUAAUUUGAUAAGACCUCAGUGGAGACUGCUGAACCCCUGGGAUUUAACAUCAUAUAUUAUUCAUUGUUGCUGUUGCCACAGACGUGCUGAUUUUGCCCCUGCUGAGCAAGGCACUUCUGCACAUGGGAACUUGAUGGCUAACCACACUGCAUGUUCUUCAGGCAGGGCCUAUCCCAGAACGUUCCAAGCUGUCUGCUAGCAAGUCUGCAUUAACUCCCUCAAUGCUGCAUGCACGGUGUCCCUGAGUCCUUCACCACCCGCCCCGCCACCAGAGCCAGUCUUUUUAAGAAUUUUGCCUGGGCUGUGUUUUUCAAAGUGCCUCUCUCUAGUGUGCAUCUCUUCUUAAUCACAGAAAGCAGAUCUGAGAGCUUCUAAUGCACUUCUCUAUUACUUCAAGAACACUGUGUAUAAUAAUAAACUCUACAGAAAUAAACCAAAUCACAAGAAGCUUUCAGGUCUGGAGGCUGACAUUUCUCAAGACAGAUGCAAAAACCCAGGCCCAGAGAGAUGAAGAAACCUGGCUAAGGUAACAUGUAAGUUAGUGUCAAAAUCAGGAUAAAACCCAGAUCUUCUGACUCUUAGUAUAGCUCUCUUUUUACCCAGCCACACUGCCUGUGUCCCUGGGACUGUUAGUAAAAUAACAGGUGAGCUGGACCCCCUUUUUGAGAUGACUGGGUAUGUUUACUGUCUGGGUCAGAUCAGUCAAGUACUCUGAGUCUAGGGUUGUUCCUAGAACAGAAGCUGGGGUUGAUGAGCAUUUGUGAGUAUUGGAGAAGGAGUGAGGGGGAGAAGCCUCACACGCAAACCCAGGCCCUGGUUUCAAUUUCGUGUAUGAGAUUACCUGAGAACGGAAUGCAAGUAACAGGCAAAUAAUUGACAUCUCAAACCUAACUGUGUAUGCAUCCUGAGUAGCUAAUAGUGAGCUGUUCACUACUAAUGCUGUGUGUAGGUUCAUCCCAAAGACAGGCUGAUCCACACAUAGACAGGCUGGUCCUAUGAUUAAGGAGUGUGAGCUGGCAUUCCCUUUAUCAGGACAAAGAUAGGUUCUGCUUCCUCUGGAUAGUCUUCAGGCAAAGCUUUACUUAUGGCCUUGCAAAUAACCCAUGGUCUCUUGGUCGAUGAACAAAAUAGCAGUAAAGAAGAUGAAUUCUCCUUAUUUAUCUUCAGUUUUCUCCCUGGAGUGAAAGUGAGGGUUAUUCUCUGGUAUAUUAGAAAAAUAGUACAUUAUACUACCUAAUGGGUUUCAGUCUGACUCAAAAUGAAAG